Eublepharis macularius is the source of this 320-nucleotide small nucleolar RNA. The record is from RefSeq and is a predicted model, not a curated record. Lineage: Eukaryota; Metazoa; Chordata; Lepidosauria; Squamata; Eublepharidae.
GCUUCAUGAUGAUAUCAAGGCAAAUGUGACCCCUACCAGAGGGCUGCUCUAGCAACUUGUUCCCUAUAUACAGGUCUGUAAUCUUGGUGGGCAAUGCAGAGCAGUGCAAGUUCGCUGUAAGGGCAGACCUACAGGAUCUCCCAUUCCUUGCAGCCUCCUCUCCAGAAGAGCUAUCCACUUCUUUGCAAAGUCAGCAACUUAGUGGGACAGGGAUACGGGUACAAGGCAAGCCCAGUGUGUCCAGGUAACAGGUUGCUAUGUGCUGCCAGAGUUAAGUGUUUGGGGCAUCAUGAGCACAAGUCUUUGGUAAUCUGAAAGCA